RNAcentral lists this ribosomal RNA (453 nucleotides) under uncultured Alphaproteobacteria bacterium. RNAcentral describes it as "bacterial SSU rRNA". It matches the Rfam family "Bacterial small subunit ribosomal RNA", at positions 1069 to 1533 of the family's 1533-position model. The record is from RNAcentral. Lineage: Bacteria; Pseudomonadati; Pseudomonadota; Alphaproteobacteria.
GAGAUGUCGGUUAGUCGGUACGAGCGCACCCUAUUCUUAGUUGCCAAUGAUGGAACUCUAGGAAGACUGCCGGUGUCAAACCGGAGGAAGGUGGGGAUGACGUCAAGUCCUCAUGGCCCUUACGAUUGGGGCUACACACGUACUACAAUGGCAUUUACAGUGGGACGCAAUAUCGCGAGAUGGAGCAAAUCCCCAAAAGAUGCCUCAGUUCGGAUUGUACUCUGCAACUCGAGUACAUGAAGUUGGAAUCGCUAGUAAUCGCGUAACAGCAUGACGCGGUGAAUACGUUCCCGGGCCUUGUACACACCGCCCGUCACACCACGAAAGUUGGCUCUGCCUGAAAUCGAUCGCCUAAACCCCUCGGGGAUAGCGUCGCUUACGGUAGGUCCGAUGAUUGGGGUGAAGUCGUAACAAGGUAGCCGUUGCGGAAGCAGCGGCUGGAUCACCUCCUUU